AGAAAUAUGUCUGAUAAUAGAGUUACUUUGAUAGAGUAAAUUAUAGAGGUUUAAAUCCUCUUAUUUCUA
This 69-nucleotide transfer RNA is filed under the name Harpiocephalus harpia (hairy-winged bat). RNAcentral describes it as "tRNA-Ile". It matches the Rfam family "tRNA". From Rfam's summary of the family: Transfer RNA (tRNA) molecules are approximately 80 nucleotides in length. Their secondary structure includes four short double-helical elements and three loops (D, anti-codon, and T loops). The record is from RNAcentral. RNAcentral also lists the same sequence under 1 other name. Lineage: Eukaryota; Metazoa; Chordata; Mammalia; Chiroptera; Vespertilionidae.